Non-coding RNA from Pelobates cultripes (western spadefoot toad), 226 nucleotides. NCBI's taxonomy places the organism in Eukaryota, Metazoa, Chordata, Amphibia, Anura, Pelobatidae. The record is from the annotation of a GenBank genome assembly.
CUGGCUGUAGGGAUAUUUUCACGUGGAGUCUAUGUAUGAAUGCAGAUCUGCUUGUGGUGUAUGUGUGUGUGGGUGCGUUGGUGUAUUUGUGUAGAGUGUCUCUGUGUGAAUGUAUAUUUGUGUGGAGUGUCUAUGUAGGGUAUAUUUGAGAGGAGUGUUUGAGUGGAGUGUUUCUAUGUGAAUGUAGAUGUAUAUUUGUAAAGGCUGUCUAUGUAUGAAUGCAGUG